Molecule: ribosomal RNA, 469 nt
Filed under: uncultured Anaerolineaceae bacterium
Lineage: Bacteria; Bacillati; Chloroflexota; Anaerolineae; Anaerolineales; Anaerolineaceae
Description: bacterial SSU rRNA
Rfam family: Bacterial small subunit ribosomal RNA
Source: RNAcentral
GAAACUCAAAUGAAUUGACGGGACCCGCACAAGCAGCGGAGCGUGUGGUUUAAUUCGUUGCUACACGAAGAACCUUACCUGGGUUUGACAUAUAGGUGUAGGGAACUGAAAGGGACCGACCCUUCGGGGAGCCUAUACAGGUGUUGCAUGGCUGUCGUCAGCUCGUGUCGUGAGAUGUUCGGUUAAGUCCGCUAACGAGCGCAACCCUCGUCGUAUGUUAUAUGUGUCAUACGAGACUGCCGGUAAAAGCCGGAGGAAGGUGAGGAUGAUGUCAAGUCAGCAUGACCUUUAUAUCCAGGGCUACACACACGCUACAAUGGUCUGUACAAUGGGUAGCCAAACCGCGAGGCGGAGCCAAUCCUGAAAGCAGGCCUCAGUUCAGAUUGCAGUCUGCAACUCGACUGCAUGAAGCCGGAGUUGCUAGUAACCGCAGGUCAGCAAUACUGCGGUGAAUACGUUCCCGGGUCUU